UACGGAGGGUGCGAGCGUUAAUCGGAAUUACUGGGCGUAAAGAGUGCGUAGGUGGUUAAUUAAGUUAUCUGUGAAAUCCCUGGGCUUAACCUGGGCAGGUCAGAUGAUACUGAUUGACUCGAGUAUGGGAGAGGGUAGUGGAAUUUCCGGUGUAGACGGUGAAAUGCGUAGAGAUCGGGAAAGGAACACCAGUGGCAAGGACGG
This 204-nucleotide ribosomal RNA is filed under the name uncultured bacterium. RNAcentral's name for it is "partial 16S ribosomal RNA". It matches the Rfam family "Bacterial small subunit ribosomal RNA", at positions 524 to 724 of the family's 1533-position model. The record is from RNAcentral.